RNAcentral lists this long non-coding RNA (3018 nucleotides) under Nicotiana tabacum (common tobacco). RNAcentral describes it as "long non-coding RNA (NTAB_LNC005871)". The record is from RNAcentral. Lineage: Eukaryota; Viridiplantae; Streptophyta; Magnoliopsida; Solanales; Solanaceae.
AAAUAUUCCCUCUUUUGCCGCACACAUAUUCACCCACAAUUUCCCAAAGGAUUCUUCUAUGCCACGGUAAGUCAUAGAAGAACUAGGGUUUCUUGAUUCAUCUAUCGCAUUGUCGUCUCUCUCACUACACCAGCCAAUAUCACUUAGUAAUCUCUCUCUACUCUCUCUAUUUCUAUCUCUUUUUCUUUAGGUAUUAAUUUCUUAUUGUUGAUGGCCGUUCUAAAAUCUAGAAGUCACAAAUAAACUUCAAAAUUGAUAGAUACAAGUAAAUAUGCAUUUAAUUUGGUCAUGGUAAGUACAAUUUAUAUACCAAUAAUUACCUUCAUUUUAUUGUAGGAGAAUUUACUUCUUUUUUCCCAGACAAAAAUAAAGCAGUGAUGGUGAAUCAUUUGUAUAUAGAUUACAAUUGGUAUUUCACGGAGAUUUUUGUUGGAGCAAUUUUUCCUUUUAUGUUACCAUGGCAUUAUUGUAAGGUAAACUAGAUUUCCUUGUGGUAAUGUUUCUUUCACAUAAAAGUUUUUUCUAAAAGAUGGAUGUUUGAAAAUUAGUAAAUUUCUUUCAUUAUAGUUUUUCAACAAAAAUAAUAUUUUCCAGUGUAAACUUGGAAUGAAAUUGGUCACUUCACUGUUAAAUUUGAAAAAUAAAUAUACUCUAAAUUUGUCUAAUUACAUAACUAAAUCGUUUAAAGCAAUUGUUUAACCUGUUACUAGUAUUUUUUUUAUAUUUAGAAAAUAUAUAGUUGUAGUUAUCCUCAUGUUCAUAUGACAAAAACAUUCAUUUUAACAUAUUAGUCAAAUUCAUUUAGUUUGAGUUUUAGAAAUAGGAAAGUCAAGCAUGUUGGAACAUAUGAGAGUAUUACCCGAAUAUUGAAAUGGGUACAGAGACUUAUGUACUCAUUUGAUAGAAAUUUUACGUGUUUUCUUUUGGUUAUUUAGCCCAAUGUGAGAUUUAAACUUGUUAGUUUCAUUAUCUUUCAGUUUCAGGCCCUACGUGAAGUAGUUGAAGAAGAGGGAGAAUGGUGGAAAUUCGGAUAUGAGAAAUCAUAAGUAUCACUGAGUUCUAAGAAAGUGAUUCCUCCUUAUUGCUGUAUGAGGUACUCUGGCUUUUCUAUAAGCUUAUGCUUAUAUGUCCAAAUGACUGUUAAAUCUAUUUAUCGGUAAUAAACCAAGUCUAUAUUCUCUCACAUCUAAAAGUAUGCAUAGUAAUUUUAGUUAUAAGAUGAUUUGGUUAGAAUACUUUUCACUUGGUUGACUUCGGUUGAAUUAGUUUCAAGUAUCAUGGAUGCAUCUAUCAAGCCUGUGUACAAGGUUUUGCAGAUAUUCUUUUAGUAAAUGUUAUCGAUCUAUCUUACUAUGAAGUGGCAGAUCUGGAACUGCUUGAAAAAACGAACUUUGUCUGUCCCUAUUUAUGUGAUGCACUUUCCUUUUUAGUUUGUAUAAAAAAGAAUGAUACCUUAUAAUAUUUAGAAAUAAUUUAAUUUUAAACCUACCAUUUUACCCUUAAUGAGAUGAUAUAUAGCCACACAAAUAUCUAUGACAUAUUUUAUACUACAAAUUUCGGAAGUCUUUCUUUCUCAAACUUCGUGCCUAGUCAAAGUGCAUCACAUAAACUAGGAUGGAGGAGUAAUUUAUUAUAUCGUAUGUCUAAUUAUAUUAUUUUGUUGAAGAAUUCCUCAAUUGAAAAGGAUUAACAUAAUUUUGCUAAUGUUUGCAGGAUGUUAAGUUGCUUUUCAGUUACAUUACUAUUUGCAUUUUCCUAAGUUAUCGUACAUUUUAUGUGCUUUUGGUUAUCUUUGGUUCGUGCGCAUAUGAGUCCUGUGUGACAAGAAAGUACCACCGAAACUUAAAGGAAGACACUGUCACUUGGAAGUAACAUAAGAAUUAAUAAUUUCAUCAUGAAUUCCUUUUAAGCUUUACUACUAAUAUCAGAGGUGAGAACAAGAUAAAUUUUUCAUGAAAAUUCAGUGAAUAUGUUGCAUUCUUGUCUUUCUGUGGUAAGAUAUGAAAGGAUUAAUUUAGCUUUGCUUAAGUAAGUAGUUAGUAAAUAUGUUGCAUUCUUGUCUUUUGUGGUAAGAUAUGAAAGGAAUAAUUCAGCUUUAUUUUUAUACUGACUUAGUACCAUCUUGGUAGUAGGAUAUUAUUAAUUAAUUACCUUUACUUAUCAAUUUUAGUUUGGUGGUUAGCUAUUUUGAUCAUUCUCCAUAUGUGUGAUGAGAUUCAAUCUUGUUUUGCUCUUCCAUCAGAUUGACUUUUUCUGCUAGUAAAUAUGUUUUCAUGACCUGAAAACCGUGUUUGUGAAGUUGCAGUUUAUUGAUCUUGUAGUAUAUUCAAUAGAUAUAUAGCAUCUGCUUGCUACUAAGAAACAAUUAAUAUUUAAUUCAUAGCAAGUUGAACUUGAUGUAUUUGAUUUGUGAAGUUUUCAUUUGUUAGAUAAUAUUCAUACUGAAGAUCAUGACAAUACACUUUGUCUGCAGAUCAUGGACGUGCAAGCCUAGAUAAAUCACAAAAAAUAUUGAUGCAACUAACGCAAGGGAUCAUGGGAACUUCAAUGUCAUGACCAAAUUCUCUUUUAGUGAACAAAUUGUCACUCUUUUAUUAAUAUUUCACUGAACCAUAGUCAUAUUUAGUAUGCUAAUUGUUCAUUUAUGAAUUUCAGAUCUGGUUUCAAAAAUGCAUUAAUAGCAUGCACAAAACUUGUAUCAUGUUGGUGCAAUUUGAGAAGUUGAUCUAGUGAAAUGUAGCUCAUUAUCCUGGUGCAUAAUAAGGUUUGAUCUGGUGCAAUCUAGCCCAUCAUUUCGGUUUACAAAUGGAUCUUUAAGCUUGUGCAAGUACGUGUGGCACAUAUGGAAAACUUCCAUAUGAUCAAGGAAUGAAGAAAUUUGUUAGACGUGAAAAUGUAUUGGAUUCAAAUUAUUUUCCUCCUCUUAUGUAUUUACACUUUCAAACGAUAAAUUAGCAGUUGUAUUUGUUUUGAAUGUAAUGAAAUACAUUUUGCUUCAAUGGAUUUGACAUUAGCAUG